Molecule: ribosomal RNA, 465 nt
Filed under: uncultured bacterium
Lineage: Bacteria
Description: partial 16S ribosomal RNA
Rfam family: Bacterial small subunit ribosomal RNA
Source: RNAcentral
GACGAACGCUGGCGGCGUGCUUAACACAUGCAAGUCGAACGGAAAGGCCCUGCUUGCAGGGUCCUCGAGUGGCGAACGGGUGAGUAACACGUGGGUGAUCUGCCCUGCACUUCGGGAUAAGCCUGGGAAACUGGGUCUAAUACCGGAUAGGAGCCAUUUUUAGUGUGAUGGUUGGAAAGUUUUUUCGGUGUAGGAUGAGCUCGCGGCCUAUCAGCUUGUUGGUGGGGUAAUGGCCUACCAAGGCGGCGACGGGUAGCCGGCCUGAGAGGGUGGACGGCCACAUUGGGACUGAGAUACGGCCCAGACUCCUACGGGAGGCAGCAGUGGGGAAUAUUGCACAAUGGGCGCAAGCCUGAUGCAGCGACGCCGCGUGGGGGAGGACGGCCUUCGGGUUGGAAACUCCUUUCGCUAGGGACGAAGCUUUUUGUGACGGUACCUAGAUAAGAAGCACCGGCUAACUACGUG